AAAGAGAGAGGGAGAGGUUAGGAUGUUAGUGCCCCAAUGUUUGAUUCGGUGACUGGGAGGGUGACAGUGAGAGAGAGAGAGAGAAUGGGUCGUGAUGAUUUCGGGGAGAGAAACAGAGAGGGAAGGGUGGGGAUGGUGAACAGGCCCCGAGCAUGGUCCUCCUGAGUCCAGGAUUCUGAUAAAAAAUCAAUGUUUUAUUAUUUCUUGCAUUUAUAUCUGCUGGCAUGUGGUGAUUGAGAGGCCAAAAUUAUUUUACAAAUCUUUUUGUACUGUUUGGUUAGGUUAGGCAGCAUGGUCUUGUGUGUUUUUUUAAUCGAUUUGGGGAUUUUCUAGCCUUGUAUUUAUUUGUUUGCUCUCUGUUCUUCAAAUUAUCAAACACUCUCCCUUUGUUUCUCAGGAAAAUGCUUCAAUUUUCUGGUAAUCUUCUCCCCUCUCUGUAAAUUAUGAAUUUAAUUGUCUUCUCUAUAUAAAUCGAUUCAUACAUAACACGCUGCAUGUAUGAAAUUCCAAUAACCUUCUAAAGAGGAUUUUUAUGUUCAUUUUAACUGCAAUUCGUAUAAUUUAGGAGGAUAGUUUGAUAUAGCAGUGGUCAUGGGAGACUUCGUUUCGUUUAUUAGAUUAGCCAAUCUCCCUGAAGAGGUGAAGAAGGAACUUGAAGAUCCUCAUAGUGGGUACAGUUUUGGAUGGAGCAUCAAUGUCAUAUGGCUCAGACCAAUAAUUAUUUGGCCAAACUGUUGUAUUUGUCGGUUUCUUUAUGCUGGGAUAUAUUUAGCAGCAUUAACCUAUUUGAAAACUUAGAUUUGCACAAACACAACAUAAUCUUUGCGAAAGCAUGUAUUUGACUGGCAUAUUAUUUCAUAUAUAUUAACAGAUAAGCAAUGCUCUAGCGGGUGCCGACAUAAAAGACUUGAUGAGGAAGCUAUCAAAAUUUAUUUAUGAUGAAGAGAAAGCUCUUGAGAUGAGGUUUUUUUUGUUCCCUGUUUCAUCUUUGUUUUAAGCAAUGAGAAGGGUCAAGUUUAUGAUAGUUUCUAGAUAUGUAGAUUGGGAAAUUAAUCAUUAAACUAAGAUUUUACACGCACUUCCAAGGCCAUUGUGUGUGGGUUGUACUUUAUCUUUAGUCUGCUGUUUGUUCAAUCCCGUAUAUUUGGAGCAGAUAUUUGUAUCCUGAGCCUUACCCAGAGGAGAAUUUGGAGUUAAUUCGUUCUCGGAAUAUUCGGUU
Molecule: long non-coding RNA, 1219 nt
Organism: Pyrus x bretschneideri (Chinese white pear)
Lineage: Eukaryota; Viridiplantae; Streptophyta; Magnoliopsida; Rosales; Rosaceae
Exons: 2
Source: RefSeq, a predicted model, not a curated record